UCGGCCGAGCAGACCCGUGGCCUCACUCCCCCGCGCGUUAGGGUUCCGCUCUCAUCCUUCGUGCCUGCUCACCGCCGCCACUUCCAGCUAGGCCGUCGUCGCCGCGCCCCACCAGGUUCUCGCGUUUUCCCCCUCUCCAAGCUUCCAUCCUUCCCUCUUACCUUACUGGCGGGUGUUGUUUCUGUACCCGGUGGUUCAUCUCGCCGCGGCCGAUUAGCUGUUAUUCACGGAAUCGUCUUCUGGUACUAUUCGUUCCCCCUUCUGACUUGCUUCGUAACUACACUACCUGUCAUCCAGUAGCCCUGUUCGUCGUCGACACUCCAGUUCGAUUAAGCCAGGAAGCCUAUGGAGAUCAUCAUCUCCCAACCAUUGAUGUUAAGGCUGCACAUUUAGUAAAGCAGCUAGCAAGUGAUGAAAGUGUAGAGUGAUCUGUGGACAUUAUCAUUAGGGUUCCUUUAAUAUUACCAUAUCGAAAGGGCGUCAAGUGCGAUCUCCGCAUUCUUCAUGUAUCCUGUGAGGAGCACCAGUAUGGUGUUGUACCACAAUUCCAAGCUGAAAGAAAAAAAGACUACGAUGCGGAUGGAUACCAUCCACACCCACAGACCACAGUGGCUUGCUUUGCUUACCAGAGCAUGACACCAGAAGAGAGCGAGAGCCUGACGAUGGCGCCGAGGUCGGCGAAGGCGGCGGACGAGAAUCCGGUCCAGGUGAGAGGGCAUCCGCCGAAGAAGACGAAGGCGAGCUGGCCGAACACGGGGAUCCACAUGGCGACGACCAUGGAGCCCAUGACGCCGGCGAGGCCGAGGCGGAGGUGGACGGCGGCGAGCCAGGACAGGGCGAGGUGGAGGCCGAGGUUGAGCAUGGCGAGGUACGUGAUGAUCAUGUUCUUGAUCUGCGCCUGCAGGUACAUCUGCAGCGGGAAGGCCCAGACGAAGGAGAAGAGCACGGGGAUGUACCAGAGCGCCACGGUCCCCGCCACCGCCGAGAUGUCCGGGUCCUGCCCCAGCGCCACCAGCAGCGGCUCCGUGAACAGGUACACGGGGAGCUGCACCACGGCGCACGCCGACAGGAUGAUCCACGACCGCUGCAGGUAGAUGCCCAGCAUGUGGUACUGCUUCGCCCCGUACGACUGCCCGCACAGCGUCUCCAGCGCGCUCGCCAUGCCCAGCUGCAUGCAGAUGCAUAUCGCGCCCGGCCGGACGCCGACGACGCGGACUUGUUGGAACAGAGCCGUCGUCGACCAGUCGACGCCUGGGUGCCUGGCCAUUUUCUUCGCCGAAGAAGGGAAAAAGAAGCCGCCGCCAAGACCAAGAGGGAAGAAGAGGAAGCAGCAGCCAAGAGAGCAAUUGGAACAUGACUGUUGGGAUCGGCACGAGAUGUCGUCGAGGCGGCGGCAAGCUUUAUUGAUUCCAAUGUUUUUUUUUUCUAUCUAGCUUGUCCGGCACGAGUUGGUGGCUGACUUUAUUCGGGCUCUGAACCGAGAGCACGGAUCGAUCUUUUGAAUCGAAUGCUGCUGGCGGGGGCGGGCCGCCUGGAGCUCGACGAACGAAGGGCAAGACGACAUCGACUACAAAAUGGUCCCCGAUCGUGUUGUGCAGCGUGUUGCUCGUGAUCACUAUACUUGCAUGCAUCUUUGAAUUUGAAUCAUGCAUGCGUGCAUGUCCGUAUAUAGAUCCACAACAUGGGCUGUACUUUUUUUGAAAAAAAUUGUUUCGUCUUUCUCUUUUUUGCGAACGAUAAUUGUCGGCACGUUUUUUUUUCGUUCGGAGGCCGGUGUUAGAGAGUA
This is a long non-coding RNA of Zea mays, 1786 nucleotides long. RefSeq lists it as uncharacterized. The transcript has 5 exons. The record is from RefSeq and is a predicted model, not a curated record. Lineage: Eukaryota; Viridiplantae; Streptophyta; Magnoliopsida; Poales; Poaceae.